AAAAUUAAAAAAAAAGGAAAAUGCAUAGGAAACAUUUUAUAUUUACGGAUUUUCAUGCAUGUUAUUGGUAUUCUAAAUACAAUUGGCUUAGAUUCGCUUAAUAAGGUUAAGGAGGGGAAACUUAAUUAUUUUCCUUUGAAUUAAAAAUUAAAAAAAAAUAUGUACAAAUGCAUAGCAAACGUUAUCUAUGGAUUGUAAUGCAUGUUAUUGGAAAUCUAAAUACAUUUGGAUUAGAUUCGCUUAACCUUAGGGGAAACCUAUUUAAUCUCGUCCAGCUCUGGACCACAUCAACAUUCGUAAUCAUGAGGUUGAUGUGCUUGGUUGUUAUGACUAUUCUAGCUAUGGUUAACUUAGGAGACGCACUGGAGUUACGACCCAUAGGAAAAGCGCACGGCGGAUGUCGUGGGAACUGUGGUGGGUAAUUACCCACCUGAAAAACAGAGAUGAGAACGACAACCAUCCCCCCUCGCUCAUCGUCUGUCCUAAAAAUUACCCACCUGAAAUUAAAAUUUCGCCGGCCCUGUUUGCCUGUAAAAAUAGUAUAUUCACGAUUUUGCAGAGACCAAAUUGCUGACGAGUUUUGAAGAAAAAAAUAUACAAGUAAAACAAAAUUAAUAAAAUGUAAUUAAACAAAGUAAACAAAAGCAAA
Long non-coding RNA from Drosophila ficusphila, 649 nucleotides. RefSeq lists it as uncharacterized. The record is from RefSeq and is a predicted model, not a curated record. NCBI's taxonomy places the organism in Eukaryota, Metazoa, Arthropoda, Insecta, Diptera, Drosophilidae. The transcript has 2 exons.